RNAcentral lists this ribosomal RNA (253 nucleotides) under uncultured bacterium. Its description in RNAcentral is "partial 16S ribosomal RNA". It matches the Rfam family "Bacterial small subunit ribosomal RNA", at positions 524 to 776 of the family's 1533-position model. The record is from RNAcentral.
UACGUAGGGUGCGAGCGUUGUCCGGAAUUAUUGGGCGUAAAGAGCUCGUAGGCGGUCUGUCACGUCGGCUGUGAAAACUCGGGGCUCAACCCCGAGCCUGCAGUCGAUACGGGCAGACUAGAGUCCGGCAGGGGAGACUGGAAUUCCUGGUGUAGCGGUGAAAUGCGCAGAUAUCAGGAGGAACACCGGUGGCGAAGGCGGGUCUCUGGGCCGUAACUGACGCUGAGGAGCGAAAGCAUGGGGAGCGAACAGG